AAGGAUCAUUAAAGAAUUCUGGAUGGCCAAGGGGUUGUUGCUGGUCUUUGGACAUGUGCACAUCUUGAAGUCAUCCUUUUCUUACCACACACCUGUGCACCAUCUGUAGCGUAGGGAUGAUCGACGCAAGUCGAUCGAUCGAUCAGAUCGAAUGCCCUAUGUUACGUUUAUACACACACUAUGUCUUUAGAAUGUAAUGUAAUAUGCGUGUUAUAUCGCAGAUGAAAUACAACUUUCAGCAACGGAUCUCUUGGCUCUCGCAUCGAUGAAGAACGCAGCGAAAUGCGAUAAGUAAUGUGAAUUGCAGAAUUCAGUGAAUCAUCGAAUCUUUGAACGCACCUUGCGCUCCUUGGUAUUCCGAGGAGCAUGCCUGUUUGAGUGUCAUGAAAUUCUCAACUGCUUUGUUUUUAACAUAGUGAAGUUGGAUUUGGAGGUGUUUGCUGGCAUAUGUCAGCUCCUCUUAAAUGCAUUAAAGCUUGUUGUUAUCAUUCUUUGGACGUGAUAAUUAUCUACGUCGGAUUGGAAUGGUAGUUACGGCUUAUUUGUUCAUUUUUUGAACUUUGACCAAUCUGACCUCAAAUCAGGCAGGACUACCCGCUGAACUUAA
This 607-nucleotide ribosomal RNA is filed under the name Hydnellum concrescens. Its description in RNAcentral is "eukaryotic LSU rRNA". The stretch from base 231 to 384 matches the Rfam family "5.8S ribosomal RNA". Lineage: Eukaryota; Fungi; Basidiomycota; Agaricomycetes; Thelephorales; Thelephoraceae. The record is from RNAcentral.